This 393-nucleotide ribosomal RNA is filed under the name uncultured Microsporidia. RNAcentral describes it as "SSU rRNA". It matches the Rfam family "Microsporidia small subunit ribosomal RNA", at positions 1 to 405 of the family's 1311-position model. The record is from RNAcentral. Lineage: Eukaryota; Fungi; Microsporidia.
CACCAGGUUGAUUCUGCCUGACGUAGAUGCUAGUCUCUAAGAUUUAGCCAUGCAUGCUUAAUAUAGAAUGGCGAACGGCUCAGUAAUGUUGCGAUGAUUUGCUCUUGAUGGCGUAGAUAACCACGGUAAGCUGUGGCUAAUAGGCAAGAAUAAGACGCAACCCUAUCAGUUAGUUGGUAGUGUAAAGGACUACCAAGACGAUGACGGGUGACGGGAAAUGAGGGUUUGAUUCCGGAGAGGGAGCCUGAGAGAUGGCUCCCACGUCCAAGGACGGCAGCAGGCGCGAAAAUUGCCCACUCUUUGGUGAGGAGGCAGUUAUGAGACGUAGGUUAAGCAGCACAGUAAACAAGUGCGUAGUUGAUUGGAGGGCAAGUUUGGUGCCAGCAGCCGCGG